UGGGGAAUUUUGGACAAUUGGGCGAAAGCCUGAUCCAGCAAUGCCGCGUGUGUGAAGAAGGCCUUCGGGUUGUAAAGCACUUUUGUCCGGAAAGAAAUCCUUGGCUCUAAUACAGUCGGGGGAUGACGGUACCGGAAGAAUAAGCACCGGCUAACUACGUGCCAGCAGCCGCGGUAAUACGUAGGGUGCAAGCGUUAAUCGGAAUUACUGGGCGUAAAGCGUGCGCAGGCGGUUUGCUAAGACCGAUGUGAAAUCCCCGGGCUCAACCUGGGAACUGCAUUGGUGACUGGCAGGCUAGAGUAUGGCAGAGGGGGGUAGAAUUCCACGUGUAGCAGUGAAAUGCGUAGAGAUGUGGAGGAAUACCGAUGGCGAAGGCAGCCCCCUGGGCCAAUACUGACGCUCAUGCACGAAAGCGUGGGGAGCAAAACAGGAUUAGAUACCCUGGUAGUCCACGCCCUAAACGAUGUCAACUAGUUGUUGGGGAUUCAUUUCCUUAGUAACGUAGCUAACGCGUGAAGUUGACCGCCUGGGGAGUACGGUCGCAAGAUUAAAACUUAAAGGAAUUGACGGGGUCAUAGCUGUUUCCU
This 587-nucleotide ribosomal RNA is filed under the name uncultured bacterium. Its description in RNAcentral is "partial 16S ribosomal RNA". It matches the Rfam family "Bacterial small subunit ribosomal RNA", at positions 355 to 1375 of the family's 1533-position model. The record is from RNAcentral.